UGGGGUUCCAUGCAUGCUCUCUUUUUCAAUUCUUUUGUUUAUCGUUACACUUCAUUUUCACCUUUUCUCUUGCUUUUUGACUAAGAACACUUCUUAAAAGAAAUGGCAGAAAACACAAGUCCAGCUAUCACUAUGACUUGUGAGGUUUGUUCAGAGUAUUACACUGACCCCCUCAUGCUUCCCUGUCUUCACUCAUUCUGUAAGAAGUGUCUCAUAAAAGCUAAAGAGAAGCAAGGUAGUGCUGAUACCUCAUUAAAGUGUCCAACAUGUGACACUAGUGUUAACUUACCUGAUGGUAAAAUUGAAGGCCUCACUCAAAACCUUUGGUUUGAACAUAAAUCAAAAGAGGCUUCGAUAAAAAAGAAGAUCACCAACAAGGAAGCAGUAUUGUGUGAUGAGUGUAGUGUUGAUGAUUCCAGUGAUGCAGCUGUCGUGUAUUGCUGUGAUUGUCAUGUCCAGCAAUGAGUGGUAGGGGUGGGCGAUAUAUCAAAAUUAACGAUAUUUUAUCGAUAUAAUGCGGUAUCGAUACGUAUUGAUAUCGAAAAAAAUUGAAAAGAAAUAUCGAUACCGUGACCACGCCCACAAAAUGAUUGUAUAACCUUAAUAAUAGUUAAUUAACCACAGUCGAUAAGUAAUGAAGUAUCUCCAAACCGCUCCAAACACUUCUUUUUUGCAAAACAGAGGAAGUAACAGAUGAAGACUAAGUCAAAACAGGUUAAAUGA
Long non-coding RNA from Amphimedon queenslandica, 723 nucleotides. RefSeq lists it as uncharacterized. The record is from RefSeq and is a predicted model, not a curated record. The transcript has 2 exons. Lineage: Eukaryota; Metazoa; Porifera; Demospongiae; Haplosclerida; Niphatidae.